GAUGAACGCUAGCUACGGGCUUAACACAUGCAAGUCGAGGGGCAGCGGGAUUGAAGCUUGCUUCAAUUGCCGGCGACCGGCGCACGGGUGAGUAACGCGUAUCCAACCUUCCGUACACUCAGGGAUAGCCUUUCGAAAGAAAGAUUAAUACCUGAUGGUAUGAUGAGAUUGCAUGAUAUCAUCAUUAAAGAUUUAUCGGUGUACGAUGGGGAUGCGUUCCAUUAGGUAGUAGGCGGGGUAACGGCCCACCUAGCCAACGAUGGAUAGGGGUUCUGAGAGGAAGGUCCCCCACAUUGGAACUGAGACACGGUCCAAACUCCUACGGGAGGCAGCAGUGAGGAAUAUUGGUCAAUGGACGAGAGUCUGAACCAGCCAAGUAGCGUGAAGGAUGAAGGUCCUACGGAUUGUAAACUUCUUUUAUAAGGGAAUAAACCCUCCCACGUGUGGGAGCUUGUAUGUACCUUAUGAAUAAGCAUCGGCUAACUCCGUG
This 490-nucleotide ribosomal RNA is filed under the name uncultured bacterium. RNAcentral describes it as "partial 16S ribosomal RNA". It matches the Rfam family "Bacterial small subunit ribosomal RNA", at positions 28 to 507 of the family's 1533-position model. The record is from RNAcentral.